UAGUCCACGCCGUAAACGAUCAUCACUCGCUGUUGGCGAUAUACUGUCAGCGGCCAAGCGAAAGUAUUAAGUGAUGCACCUGGGGAGUACGCCGGCAACGGUGAAACUCAAAGGAAUUGACGGGGGCCCGCACAAGCGGUGGAGCAUGUGGUUUAAUUCGAUGAUACGCGAGGAACCUUACCAGGGCUUAAAUGUAGAGUGACAGGUCUAGAGAUAGAUUUUUCUUCGGACACUUUACAAGGUGCUGCAUGGUUGUCGUCAGCUCGUGCCGUGAGGUGUCAGGUUAAGUCCUAUAACGAGCGCAACCCCUGUUGUUAGUUGCCAGCGAGUGAUGUCGGGAACUCUAACAAGACUGCCAGUGCAAACUGUGAGGAAGGUGGGGAUGACGUCAAAUCAUCACGGCCCUUACGUCCUGGGCUACACACGUGCUACAAUGGUAGGGACAGAGAGCAGCCACUUCGCGAGAAGGAGCGAAUCUACAAACCCUAUCAC
Molecule: ribosomal RNA, 492 nt
Filed under: uncultured bacterium
Lineage: Bacteria
Description: bacterial SSU rRNA
Rfam family: Bacterial small subunit ribosomal RNA
Source: RNAcentral